This 150-nucleotide unclassified non-coding RNA is filed under the name uncultured Helotiales. Its description in RNAcentral is "sequence contains ITS2". Lineage: Eukaryota; Fungi; Ascomycota; Leotiomycetes; Helotiales. The record is from RNAcentral.
CAACCCUCAAGCUCAGCUUGGUAUUGGGUGUCACCGAGUUUAAUUGGUGCAUCUUAAAAUCAGUGGCGAUGCCAUCUGGCUUCAAGCGUAGUAACUUUCUCGCUUCGGAGGUUUGGUGCGUGUUUGCCAUUAUCACCCUAAUUUUUCAAU